RNAcentral lists this ribosomal RNA (777 nucleotides) under uncultured Neocallimastigales. RNAcentral's name for it is "partial large subunit ribosomal RNA". It matches the Rfam family "Eukaryotic large subunit ribosomal RNA", at positions 23 to 626 of the family's 3401-position model. Lineage: Eukaryota; Fungi; Neocallimastigomycota; Neocallimastigomycetes; Neocallimastigales. The record is from RNAcentral.
AGAGAGAGACAUGCGCGCAUAUCAAUAAGCGGAGGAAAAGAAACUAACAAGGAUUCCCUUAGUAACGGCGAGUGAAGCGGGAAGAGCUCAAAUUUGAAAUCUUCAAGGUUUUACCUUGACGAAUUGUAGUUUAAAGAAGUGUUUUCUGCUGAAGUUUUGGUAAAAGUUCUUUGGAAUAGGACAUCAUAGAGGGUGAGAAUCCCGUAUUUGACCAUUAUUUUCAGCUUUGUGAUACACUUUCAAAGAGUCGGAUUGUUUGGGAAUGCAGUCCAAAAUGGGCUGGUAAAUUUCAUCUAAAGCUAAAUAUUGGCGAGAGACCGAAUAGCGAACAAGUACCGUGAGGGAAAGAUGAAAAGAACUUUGAAAAGAGAGUUAAACAGUACGUGAAAUUGUCAAAAGGGAAGCGUUUGACACCAGUGUUGUUUUCUCGAAAAUCAAUUAAAAAUGGCUCGAUUUUGUAUUGCUUGAGACCUUAAAAGCUCACUGUACACUUUUCGUGUCUUUUUUAAUGCACUUUUCGUUUAACAAGUCAACAUCAGUUUCUUUUGUUGUAAAAGGGUCAUUGGAAGGUGGCUUUCUUUUCGGAGAAAGUGUUUAUAGCCUUUGGCCUCUGCAAUCGAAGAGACUGAGGUCUGCAGCGUAGACUCUUCGGGGUUAGAUACAUUUGUGCUAAGUUAUAGCUUUUUAUAGACAACUUGUUGACUAUAAUUAGUCUUGUAGCUUACUCGCUUAUGCUAUUUUACCUACGCUUAGGAUGUUGAGUCGUAGAGCACGCAG